This 402-nucleotide ribosomal RNA is filed under the name bacterium. RNAcentral's name for it is "partial 16S ribosomal RNA". It matches the Rfam family "Bacterial small subunit ribosomal RNA", at positions 355 to 776 of the family's 1533-position model. The record is from RNAcentral.
UGGGGAAUUUUGCACAAUGGGGGAAACCCUGAUGCAGCGACGCCGCGUGAUUUAGAAGGCCUUCGGGUUGUAAAAAUCUUUUCUAUGGGAAGAAAAUGACAGUACCAUAGGAAUAAGGACCGGCUAAUUACGUGCCAGCAGCCGCGGUAAUACGUAAGGUCCGAGCGUUGUCCGGAAUCAUUGGGCGUAAAGGGUACGUAGGCGGGUAAGCAAGUUAAAAGUGAAAUCCUAUAGCUCAACUAUAGUAAGCUUUUAAAACUGCUCAUCUUGAGGUAUGGAAGGGAAAGUGGAAUUCCUAGUGUAGCGGUGAAAUGCGCAGAUAUUAGGAGGAAUACCGGUGGCGAAGGCGACUUUCUGGCCAUAACCUGACGCUGAGGUACGAAAGCGUGGGUAGCAAACAGG